GACGAACGCUGGCGGCGUGCUCAACACAUGCAAGUCGAACGAUGAAGUUCCUUCGGGAAUGGAUUAGUGGCGAACGGGUGAGGAACACGUGAGAAACCUGCCCAUCAUUCUGGGAUAACACCGGGAAACCGGUGCUAAUACCGGAUACUCCAUCGCGGCGGCAUCGCUGCGCUGGGAAAGAAUUUCGAUGAUGGAUGGUCUGGCGGCCUAUCAGCUUGUUGGUGAGGUAAUGGCUCACCAAGGCGACGACGGGUAGCCGGCCUGAGAGGGCGACCGGCCACACUGGGACUGAGACACGGCCCAGACUCCUACGGGAGGCAGCAGUGGGGAAUAUUGGGCAAUGGACGCAAGUCUGACCCAGCGACGCCGCGUGAGGGAUGAAGGCCUUCGGGUUGUAAACCUCUUUCAGUGGGGAAGAAGCGAAAGUGACGGUACCCAAAGAAGAAGCACCGGCUAACUAUGUGCCAGCAGCCGCCGUAA
This 480-nucleotide ribosomal RNA is filed under the name uncultured bacterium. Its description in RNAcentral is "partial 16S ribosomal RNA". It matches the Rfam family "Bacterial small subunit ribosomal RNA", at positions 28 to 523 of the family's 1533-position model. The record is from RNAcentral.